RNAcentral lists this ribosomal RNA (460 nucleotides) under uncultured bacterium. Its description in RNAcentral is "partial 16S ribosomal RNA". It matches the Rfam family "Bacterial small subunit ribosomal RNA", at positions 338 to 795 of the family's 1533-position model. The record is from RNAcentral.
CCUACGGGUGGCAGCAGUGAGGAAUAUUGGUCAAUGGGCGUAAGCCUGAACCAGCCAAGUCGCGUGAGGGAUGAAGGUUCUAUGGAUCGUAAACCUCUUUUAUAAGGGAAUAAAGUGCGGUACGUGUCCCAUUUUGUAUGUACCUUAUGAAUCAGGAUCGGCUAACUCCGUGCCAGCAGCCGCGGUAAUACGGAGGAUCCGAGCGUUAUCCGGGUUUAUUGGGUUUAAAGGGGGCGUAGGCGGCCUUUGAAGUCAGCGGUGAAAGUCUGUGGCGCAACCAUAGGAUUGCCGUUGAAACUGGGAGGCUGGAGUAUGUGUGAGGCAGGCGGAAUGCGUGGUGUAGCGGUGAAAUGCUUAGAUAUCACGCAGAACCCCGAUUGCGAAGGCAGCCUGCCAAGCCAUGACUGACGCUGAUGCACGAAAGCGUGGGGAUCAAACAGGAUUAGAUACCCCGGUAGUC